CUCUACACGCGAAGAGACAUCUCCCCCGUUACGACAGCACAGCACAGUCUGCCUCUAAGACAACCGCUGAGUCGCUGCAACAGAGACAGGGAUAGACAGAGUGAGAGGAAGAAAGAGGGAGGGACAGAUAGAGAGGGGAGAAGGACGACCACGGAGCAAAACACAUCACCGUCUCUCUCUGACAUCCCCCCUUGCUUGCGUGUAUCUGUGUGUGAUCCUGAGCUGAGGAGAGGACAGAAAAUGAAGCCGGGGAAAUUCUCCCUCUCUCUUUUAUUUUCCCUCUUUUCUCCAUCCAUCAUCCAAGGAUUGAAUACCGGUGUCAUCUGCCACAGAGGGAUCAAAUAAAGGGAUGCUUUGAAUGUUGUCUCUGUAUAUGACAAGUCACACAGCAAAGCAGAAAGAGGCAAAACAAGCAGGGACAAAACCAGGAUUUUGAUAAUGAACGGGAGUCCUUCCACAGCAUGUGUUAGGAAUAGCAGUCCAUCACUGAAGCCCACGGAGCCUACCCUCACGACGUGACAGUGCACAUGGUCUGGAUGCCACCAGCCGUCCUGCUAUGCUACACAGCUAAAGUUCCACUUCAAUUCGUCACCAGCCACAGCGCCCAUCCCCACCGCUCUCCAAGUGUGUCCAAUUAAGGGAUGUGUGAAGACUAAGAGGCCAGGGUUACAGACCACAUUAGAAAAAAACUGGCGAGAUCCUUGCUAGCUGCAGAUGGGCAGAACACUGUUGAUUCCCUGGCCAGUUGUCUUCCAUCCAGGUCUUAGGGUGGUGUUUCCUGGCUGUAUGAGGAGGAGGCAUGGCUUGCUGAGAUGUCGUGGACGAUCACACCACUCUGCUCGACGUGCUGCUGCUGUGCGGGCCUGGCUCCUCCAGCUGCACCACUGCAUCACUGAUGGUGCCAUGAUCCAGCUCUAACUGUGGGUAAUGACGAGACAUAAAACCAAUCCUGGAGAUGCCGAAGAGAAGAGACAUUCUUGCCAUCGUGUUGAUAGUGUUACCGUGGACUCUGCUCAUCACCGUUUGGCACCAAAGUGCAAUCGCUCCGCUGCUCGCCAUCCGCAAGGAUGACGGAGCCGACGGAGGACGGAGGGAUGUGGGCCAGGCCAGCGACUCUAAGGAGUACUGCUCAUCUGAUAAGGACAUAGUUGAGGUGGUGAGGACGGAGUACGUGUACACACGGCCGCCACCAUGGUCCGACGUGCUGCCCACCAUCCACAUCAUCACCCCAACCUACAGCCGUCCGGUCCAGAAGGCAGAGCUGACGCGGCUGGCCAACACCUUCCUCCACGUGGCCAACCUGCACUGGAUCCUGGUGGAGGACUCUCAGAGAAGGACCCCGCUGGUCACACGCAUGCUCAGGGAAACGGGCCUCAACUACACCCACCUGAACGUGGAGACUCCCAGGAACUAUAAGCUGCGUGGGGACACGCGGGACCCCAGGAUACCCCGGGGCACCAUGCAGAGGAACCUGGCGCUGCGCUGGCUCAGAGAGACCUUCAAUUCCAACAGCAGCCAGGCGGGCAUUGUCUACUUCGCUGAUGAUGACAACACCUAUAGCCUGGAGCUAUUUGAGGAGAUGAGGUCAACAAGGAAGGUAUCUGUAUGGCCCGUGGCCUUCGUUGGUGGUUUGCGCUACGAGUCGCCCAAGGUCAACGCAGUGGGCAAGGUGUACGGCUGGAAGACUGUAUUCGACCCUCACCGGCCCUUUGCCAUCGACAUGGCAGGCUUCGCCAUCAACCUGCGGCUCAUCCUCUUCAAGCCCCAGGCCUACUUCAAGCUGCGGGGAGUGAAGGGAGGCUACCAGGAGAGCAGCCUGCUCCGAGAGCUGGUCACACUCAAUGACCUGGAGCCCAAAGCUGCUAAUUGCACUAAGAUUCUCGUUUGGCACACUAGGACAGAAAAACCUGUCCUUGUAAAUGAGGGGAAAAAAGGAUUUACAGACCCCAACGUCGAGAUUUGACGUUGUCUCCUCGGGCAAUGGUAAAGAGAGAAAUUAUUCAAAUGAGGUCACAUCUCAGACUUAUUUUACUUUUUAUUUUUUUUUAGGACCUCUGGCGAACAGGAAAAUGGUGGUUGUCUAAUAUGGACCCUGAGAAGAAAAAGAGGCCAUCUCCCAGUGCAAACAGUGUUCAUGUCUUAAUCAUCUCAGAAAAGACUGCCUCGGGGGCCAAAUCCUAAUCCCCUUGACUGAAACGAAACACUUUUAAUAUUGAGAUUAAAACAGUACAAAUGUAUCAUAUUAAAGCACAGCUUAGUUCAAGAUGGCAAUAUUUAUCAGGUUAAUUGUUGCUAGCAGCACCAACAUCAAGCAGACGGUGAGAACUGAGUCAUUAAGGAUCAACGGGAGAUGCUCUCGGAACCUGCAUGGUACCAUACUGCGUCUGUAGUGUCCUAACACGAGACAGCACAACACAAACAUUGCAGGGAGAGAGGGAGUUAGGCAGCCAAUGAGAUGGAACAUUGCUGGCCUGAACAGGCUAAUGAGAUAUCCAUUGUCUUUCCCUCUAUAGACGUGGAUCUACAGGGCAGGGGAUGAGAUCUUGAGAUCUUAGUAGGGUCUGUAAGAGACUGGAGGAUCUGAUUGAACACUGAGCCCCUGGACACCUUUAAUAGACAUGUACUGAAAUGUCCUCCACAUCUUCAGACCGAACAAUAAUGGAGAAUCCGAACAAGUCAUCUCUCAGAAAAUCAAUUCUACUUUCAGCAAACACUGAAAUUUCAAAAGGGAAGGAAUGUCCUUUUUGUAUAACUAAAACUGUCUGCUUUUAUUUAAGUUGUUUGUUUUUGGUGUUUAAAUACAUUUUCUUGCUAGUUCAAUACUA
Molecule: RNA transcript, 2825 nt
Organism: Oncorhynchus keta (chum salmon)
Lineage: Eukaryota; Metazoa; Chordata; Actinopteri; Salmoniformes; Salmonidae
Gene name: galactosylgalactosylxylosylprotein 3-beta-glucuronosyltransferase 1
Exons: 8
Source: RefSeq, a predicted model, not a curated record